This 600-nucleotide ribosomal RNA is filed under the name Nocardiopsis sp. YIM 90632. RNAcentral describes it as "bacterial SSU rRNA". It matches the Rfam family "Bacterial small subunit ribosomal RNA", at positions 33 to 633 of the family's 1533-position model. Lineage: Bacteria; Bacillati; Actinomycetota; Actinomycetes; Streptosporangiales; Nocardiopsidaceae. The record is from RNAcentral.
AAACUGGCGGCGUGCUUAACACAUGCAAGUCGAGCGGUAAGGCCCUUCGGGGUACACGAGCGGCGAACGGGUGAGUAACACGUGAGCAACCUGCCCCCGACACCGGGAUAAGCCGUGGAAACGCGGUCUAAUACCGGAUACGACGCGCCCCCGCAUGGGGUGCGCGUGGAAAGGUUCUUUCUGGUUGGGGAUGGGCUCGCGGCCUAUCAGCUUGUUGGUGGGGUGAAGGCCUACCAAGGCGAUUACGGGUAGCCGGCCUGAGAGGGCGACCGGCCACACUGGGACUGAGACACGGCCCAGACUCCUGCGGGAGGCAGCAGUGGGGAAUAUUGCGCAAUGGGCGAAAGCCUGACGCAGCGACGCCGCGUGGGGGAUGACGGCCUUCGGGUUGUAAACCUCUUUUACCACUCACGCAGGCCCCGGGUUCUCCCGGGGUUGACGGUAGGUGGGGAAUAAGGACCGGCUAACUACGUGCCAGCAGCCGCGGUAAUACGUAGGGUCCGAGCGUUGUCCGGAAUUAUUGGGCGUAAAGAGCUCGUAGGCGGCGUGUCGCGUCUGCUGUGAAAGACCGGGGCUUAACCCCGGUUUUGCAGUGGAUAC